This 474-nucleotide ribosomal RNA is filed under the name uncultured bacterium. RNAcentral's name for it is "bacterial SSU rRNA". It matches the Rfam family "Bacterial small subunit ribosomal RNA", at positions 28 to 507 of the family's 1533-position model. The record is from RNAcentral.
GACGAACGCUGGCGGCGUGCCUAACACAUGCAAGUCGAGCGGAGGUACAAUGAGAGCAAUCGAGAUGUACUUUAGCGGCGGACGGGUGAGUAACGCGUGAGCAACCUGCCUAUCACAGGGGGAUAAGGCGGCGAAAGCCGCUCUAAUACCGCAUGAGACCCUCAAAGCGAUGCAAUGGGGGUGAAAGGAGCGAUCCGGUGAGAGAUGGGCUCGCGUCCGAUUAGGUAGUUGGUAGGGUAAGGGCCUACCAAGCCAAUGAUCGGUAGCCGGCCUGAGAGGGUGAACGGCCACAUUGGAACUGAGAGACGGUCCAAACUCCUACGGGAGGCAGCAGUGGGGAAUAGUUGGGCAAGUGGGCGGAAGCCUGACCCAGCAACGCCGCGUGAGGGAAGAAGGUUUUCGGAUUGUAAACCUCUGUUCUUGGGGAAGAGGAGGAGACGGUACCCAAGGGAGGAAGCCCCGGCUAACUACGUG